Molecule: non-coding RNA, 435 nt
Organism: Phascolarctos cinereus (koala)
Lineage: Eukaryota; Metazoa; Chordata; Mammalia; Diprotodontia; Phascolarctidae
Source: RefSeq, a predicted model, not a curated record
AAUAAAGCUGACUCAGUUUUCCAUCACGCUUGGAGUCCCGUCUCUUUGUUUUGCCUCCUAGUCUUUGGUCAAGAACCCUUUCUCGGACUUCGCUGCUGGUCAGCGGAGCUGUAACACCUGGUGCCCAAUGUGGGGCCGAGGAACAGGUCAGAUAGGUGUCGCGAGCCUUUCCUGAUUUCGGCCAGAGAUCCCCCUGAGACACUGCUAACGCUGGAACCUAGGACACGGAGAUGAAGUGCCUCCAGUAUGGGUCCCCCAGAGGGCUACUAGAUUGUAUAUCCCAGCUACACAAGAUGCAUCUGGACCUGAAACCACCAAACAGACGCCCGUCCCGUAAGAAGCGACGACCCCGUAAGCGAAAAACCGGUUUACAACAGGGGUUCCUGCGUGUUCCUGAUGACCAUGCCGACUUUAGGGCCUCCAACCCAAGGAAAA